AGGGUGUAAACGCUGCAGACUUGGUGUUGGAAGUCCUUUGGGGGCAUUCAGUGCCGGAGAGAAGUUGUUAAGUCUGCUACUUGGGAGUACGUCCGCAAGGAUGAAACUUAAAGGAAUUGGCGGGGGAGCACCGCAACGGGAGGAGCGUGCGGUUUAAUUGGAUUCAACACCGGAAAACUCACCAGGGGAGACCGUUACAUGAAACCCAGACUAAUGAUCUUGGUUGAUUUUUCAGAGAGGAGGUGCAUGGCGUCAGUGACU
This 261-nucleotide ribosomal RNA is filed under the name uncultured archaeon. Its description in RNAcentral is "partial 16S ribosomal RNA". It matches the Rfam family "Archaeal small subunit ribosomal RNA", at positions 748 to 1008 of the family's 1478-position model. The record is from RNAcentral.